RNAcentral lists this ribosomal RNA (255 nucleotides) under uncultured bacterium. Its description in RNAcentral is "partial 16S ribosomal RNA". It matches the Rfam family "Bacterial small subunit ribosomal RNA", at positions 524 to 777 of the family's 1533-position model. The record is from RNAcentral.
UACGAAGGGGGCUAGCGUUGCUCGGAAUUACUGGGCGUAAAGGGCGCGUAGGCGGGUCGUUUAGUUAGAGGUGAAAGCCCAGGGCUCAACCCUGGAAUUGCCUUUAAUACUGGCGGCCUUGAGUAUGGCAGAGGUGUGUGGAACUCCGAGUGUAGAGGUGAAAUUCGUAGAUAUUCGGAAGAACACCAGUGGCGAAGGCGACUGACUGGACAAGUAUUGACGCUGAGGCACGGAAAGCGUGGGGAGCAAACAGGG